This 626-nucleotide ribosomal RNA is filed under the name Porphyrobacter sp. TH02. RNAcentral describes it as "bacterial SSU rRNA". It matches the Rfam family "Bacterial small subunit ribosomal RNA", at positions 27 to 699 of the family's 1533-position model. Lineage: Bacteria; Pseudomonadati; Pseudomonadota; Alphaproteobacteria; Sphingomonadales; Erythrobacteraceae. RNAcentral also lists the same sequence under 1 other name. The record is from RNAcentral.
GAACGAACGCUGGCGGCAUGCCUAACACAUGCAAGUCGAACGAACCCUUCGGGGUUAGUGGCGCACGGGUGCGUAACGCGUGGGAACCUGCCUUUAGGUUCGGAAUAACAGUGAGAAAUUACUGCUAAUACCGGAUGAUGUCUUCGGACCAAAGAUUUAUCGCCUUUAGAUGGGCCCGCGUUGGAUUAGCUAGUUGGUGGGGUAAAGGCCUACCAAGGCGACGAUCCAUAGCUGGUCUGAGAGGAUGAUCAGCCACACUGGGACUGAGACACGGCCCAGACUCCUACGGGAGGCAGCAGUGGGGAAUAUUGGACAAUGGGCGAAAGCCUGAUCCAGCAAUGCCGCGUGAGUGAUGAAGGCCUUAGGGUUGUAAAGCUCUUUUACCCGAGAUGAUAAUGACAGUAUCGGGAGAAUAAGCUCCGGCUAACUCCGUGCCAGCAGCCGCGGUAAUACGGAGGGAGCUAGCGUUGUUCGGAAUUACUGGGCGUAAAGCGCACGUAGGCGGCUUUUUAAGUCAGGGGUGAAAUCCCGGGGCUCAACCCCGGAACUGCCCUUGAAACUGGGAAGCUAGAAUCUUGGAGAGGCGAGUGGAAUUCCGAGUGUAGAGGUGAAAUUCGUAGAUAUUC